This 253-nucleotide ribosomal RNA is filed under the name uncultured bacterium. RNAcentral describes it as "partial 16S ribosomal RNA". It matches the Rfam family "Bacterial small subunit ribosomal RNA", at positions 524 to 776 of the family's 1533-position model. The record is from RNAcentral.
GACAGAGGCCACAAGCGUUAGGCGGAAUCACUGGGCUUAAAGCGUGUGUAGGCGGAACGUUGAGUGCUUUGUGAAAUCCCACGGCUCACCCGUGGAAUUGCUUGGCAUACUGGCGUUCUUGAGCCAUCUAGGGGCAGCUGGAACAAACGGUGGAGCGGUGAAAUGCGUAGAUAUCGUUUGGAACGCCUAAGGUGAAAACAGGCUGCUGGGGAUGUGCUGACGCUGAGACACGAAAGCCAGGGGAGCAAACGGG